RNAcentral lists this microRNA precursor (64 nucleotides) under Caenorhabditis briggsae. RNAcentral's name for it is "microRNA cbr-mir-2231 precursor". Lineage: Eukaryota; Metazoa; Nematoda; Chromadorea; Rhabditida; Rhabditidae. The record is from miRBase by way of RNAcentral.
AACGGUAUCAACCUCAGGUAGCAGAGACCACAUGACUGCUAGCUCCCUGAGUAGCUGCCGUUGA